RNAcentral lists this long non-coding RNA (768 nucleotides) under Chloebia gouldiae (Gouldian finch). RNAcentral describes it as "Erythrura gouldiae (Gouldian finch) lncRNA (ENSEGOG00005011603.1)". Lineage: Eukaryota; Metazoa; Chordata; Aves; Passeriformes; Passeridae. The record is from RNAcentral.
CUGCAGGGUGCCCACGUCCCUGGGGCCUGUCUGGGUGGCACAGACACGACCCAGUGCUGCCCCCCGUGCCCCCCCAGGAGCUCUCCGGCUUCACCCUGGACCCGGUGGCGUUCGAGGACGGCAAAGGCAAAUGUCCCUACGACCCCACCAAGGGCCACACCGGCCUCAUCGUGGGUAGGUGACACUCCAGGGGGCACAGCGGGGGUGCCACCCGUGCCCCCCCAGCCCCCUUAAACGCGUCCCUCACAGAUGGGGAGCUCUACUCUGCCACCUUCAACAACUUCCUGGGCACGGAGCCCGUCAUCCUGCGCAACCUGGGCCCGCACUACUCCGUGAAGACCGAGUACCUGACCUCGUGGCUCAACGAGCCUCACUUCGUGGCGUCGGCCUUCGUGCCCGAGAGCGCGGGCAGCAGCGGCGACGACGACAAGGUGUACUUCUUCUUCAGCGAGCGCGCCGUCGAGUACGACUGCUACGCCGAGCAGGUGGUGGCACGGGUGGCACGGGUCUGCAAGGGGGACGUGGGCGGCGCGCGGACGCUGCAGAAGAAGUGGACGUCGUUCCUGAAGGCGCGCCUGGUGUGCUCGGCGCCCGAGCAGCAGCUGCACUUCAACCGCCUGCAGGCCGUGUUCACCCUGCCCGGUGCCCGCUGGCAGGACACCGCCUUCUUCGGCGUCUUCCAGGCCCGCUGGUGAGUGCCCGCCGUGCCCGGCUGCUCCCAGUGACCGUGCUGGCCCUGUCCUGGUGCCCAUGGUGGUCUUGUCCCAG